UGGGGAAUAUUGCACAAUGGGCGAAAGCCUGAUGCAGCAACGCCGCGUGAGUGAUGACGGUCUUCGGAUUGUAAAGCUCUGCCUUUGGGGACGAUAAUGACGGUACCCAAGGAGGAAGCCACGGCUAACUACGUGCCAGCAGCCGCGGUAAUACGUAGGUGGCAAGCGUUGUCCGGAUUUACUGGGCGUAAAGGGUGCGUAGGCGGACCUUUAAGUGAGAUGUGAAAUCCCCGAGCUUAACUUGGGGGCUGCAUUUCAAACUGGAGGUCUAGAGUGCAGGGGAGGAGAGUGGAAUUCCUAGUGUAGCGGUGAAAUGCGUAGAGAUUAGGAAGAACACCAGUGGCGAAGGCGACUCUCUGGACCGUAACUGACGCUGAGGCACGAAAGCGUGGGGAGCAAACAG
Molecule: ribosomal RNA, 403 nt
Filed under: uncultured bacterium
Lineage: Bacteria
Description: bacterial SSU rRNA
Rfam family: Bacterial small subunit ribosomal RNA
Source: RNAcentral